AUGGAUGAUAGUAGCUCCAGCAAGAGAAAACCUGAAGCGCAGUGAGAGGGCGAGAGCAGUGCCAAGAGGCUCAAUGUCACCGUGGGGCUGGAGUCGCUUGACUGCCCCAUCUGCUCCGAGCCCCUCAGGCCUCCGAUAUUCCAGUGCUCCGUGGGACAUUUCAUAUGCAAGGAUUGCUGCGCGGAACGAUUGAACAACAAGUGCCACUUAUGCUCUGUAGAAACUUCAUUCGAGCGCUGCUUUGGGAUGGAACAUGUCGUCCAGUCGGUCAAAGUAGGUUGCUCCAAUGACAAGUAUGGAUGUGUGGAGAAGGUCACCUACUACAAGAAAGAAGAACACAAGAAGGCAUGCCCGUAUGCUCCAUGUUUCUGCCCAGAGUCGGGUUGUGGCUUCGCUGGACCAACAAAGGUGCUCCUGGACCAUUUCACCACCCAGCACAAGUGUCCGUCGACAACCCUCCCAGACUCUGGCAUGCUGUCUCUCUGCUUACAGCCGGGCUUACAUGUUGUGAAGUGCACCGGGAACAACUACUUUUUCUUGCUCAGCAUGGCAUCAGAGCCUUACGGACAUGCCAUCUCAGUCGUCUGCGUCCAACCAAACAUGACAGAAUCCAAGUUCACAUGUAAUAUGAGUUAUGACUGCAUAACGACCGGCUGUUGUGGAAGUGCAAGCUGCCACAUAAGAAGCUCUUCACUCUCUGAUGGGCUUCCGACAGUGCAUGACUUAAUACUUCCCAAGGGAAAGGUUUCUGAUGAUGCACACGGUAUCAUGCUUAGAGCCAGCAUUCAUCAUCAAUCUUUAAGCCUCGGCAGAUCUUGUUUUCAAGGAAAUGGCCCGACUCCUGCUCUUAACCAAACACCCGAUACUUACCAUGAUGGUGAUCGUGCUGAGGAGGAUAAUAUACCUUUAAGUCUCAGCAGAUCCCGUCUUCGAGGAAAGACCCCGACUCCUGCUGUUCAACGAAGGCUCAUUACUUAUGAUGAUGAUGAUGAGGAUGAGGAUGAGGAUGAAUGGUUCGCGAGGAUGAUGAUGCGCAGCAUGAGGGUAUCUGAUUAUAGACCUCUAAGUCUCAGCAGACCUCAAAGUAUCUGUCUUGAUACUGUUGAUGAGGAGGAUGAAAUACCUUGA
This 1128-nucleotide ribosomal RNA is filed under the name Triticum aestivum (bread wheat). RNAcentral's name for it is "partial small subunit ribosomal RNA". The record is from RNAcentral. Lineage: Eukaryota; Viridiplantae; Streptophyta; Magnoliopsida; Poales; Poaceae.